AUUUUGUUUACAUGUUUGGUGUGAUGUUAAUAUUCUCAAUACAUUGUGCUUGUUUGUAUUGUGGCGAGUAGAAGAACCUGUGACUUAGGAUCCUGGUGACCAGCAGAUAGAAGUAGCUGAGCAGGAGCUCAUUGAAGGCAAGUUGUGCCCUUGACCACUUUUUACCCAAUAAUGUUCUUUAAUACCACUUAUUCAUGCAUAGGUUUAAUUUUGAUGGGACUCGAUAGGUCACCCUAGACUGUUUAUCUCUUUACCUUGUUAUCCCGGAAUCACAUGGGUAGUUUUGCUAUUGCUUUACAUGGUUUUGGGAUAAUCUUUCAUUAUAUCCAUGUUCCAGUUAUUUUGUUAUUCUAUUUAUGUUCAUGUCAAGAUCAUUAAUGUUAAUUGGAACAUGAAGCUUAACUUGAGAAACACGUGCCGCCACAAGGGUAGUAUGGAAUGCCCUUGGCUGACUAAUUAGGAAAGCUAGUGGAAGACUAUCUUACCCAAAAGGGGCAAGGGCAGUAGGGGAGUUGCAUGCAAGAAGGUUCUCGGG
RNAcentral lists this long non-coding RNA (535 nucleotides) under Zea mays. RNAcentral describes it as "drought responsive lncRNA". Lineage: Eukaryota; Viridiplantae; Streptophyta; Magnoliopsida; Poales; Poaceae. The record is from RNAcentral.